Molecule: long non-coding RNA, 291 nt
Filed under: Homo sapiens (human)
Lineage: Eukaryota; Metazoa; Chordata; Mammalia; Primates; Hominidae
Description: LHRI_LNC1699.1
Source: RNAcentral
UCAGCCUCCCGAGUGGCUGGGACUACAGGCGCCCGCCACCACGCCCGGCUAAUUUUUUGUAUUUUUAGUAGAGACAGGGUUUCACCGUGUUGGCCAGGAUGGUCUCGAUCUCCUGACCUUGUGAUCCACCCACCUCAGCCUCCCAAAGUCCUGGGAUUACAGGAGUGAGCCACCGCACCCAGCCAGCAAAUAGCAUCUUUUAGAAAGCAUUAUUGUAGACAAUACUGGAAUAAGAUGACAAAAUAGGAAAUUACUUUUAUGAAAUCAACCACAAUUUUAGCUUAAAAGGUC